GACGAACGCUGGCGGCGUGCUUAACACAUGCAAGUCGAACGCUGAAGCUCAGCUUUUGUUGGGUGGAUGAGUGGCGAACGGGUGAGUAACACGUGAGUAACCUGCCCCCUUCUUUGGGAUAACGCCCGGAAACGGGUGCUAAUACUGGAUAUUCACUGGUCUUCGCAUGGGGGUUGGUUGUAAGGGUUUUUCUGGUGGGGGAUGGGCUCGCGGCCUAUCAGGUUGUUGGUGGGGUGAUGGCCUACCAAGGCUUUGACGGGUAGCCGGCCUGAGAGGGUGACCGGUCACAUUGGGACUGAGAUACGGCCCAGACUCGUACGGGGGGGAGCAGUGGGGAAUAAUGCACAAUGGGCGCAAGCCUGAUGCAGCGACGCCGCGUGAGGGAUGGAGGCCUUCGGGUUGUGAACCUCUUUCGCUAAUGGUCAAGCCGCAACAAUGGUUGUGGUGAGGGUAGUGGGUAAAGAAGCGCCGGCUAACUACGUG
Molecule: ribosomal RNA, 483 nt
Filed under: uncultured bacterium
Lineage: Bacteria
Description: partial 16S ribosomal RNA
Rfam family: Bacterial small subunit ribosomal RNA
Source: RNAcentral